This is an RNA transcript of Cannabis sativa, 1523 nucleotides long. It is a transcript of the gene named nuclear transcription factor Y subunit B-1, with no coding region annotated. The transcript is spliced from 5 exons. The record is from RefSeq and is a predicted model, not a curated record. Lineage: Eukaryota; Viridiplantae; Streptophyta; Magnoliopsida; Rosales; Cannabaceae.
AAAAAAAAUAAAUAAAUAUAGAGAUUGAAAAAGGGAAAACGAACGGUGUUGAUAAGCAUAACGCCGAAAGGCUUCUCCAUUCUUUUCUCCAGCGUCAGAUUUCAUAAAAUCAAUUCUCCAAUAAAAUUUUAUAGCCCAUCCAAAACAAAAAUUCGGUUUCUCUGUCUCGGCGCCAAAUACAAAACAACCACUUCCUUCUUCUUUUUCUCUAUAUAAUUUUCCAGAUCAUCAUGGCGGAAGCUCCGACGAGUCCGGCUGGCGGGAGUCCCGAUAGCGGCGGUGAGCAUAGCCCGCGUGGGAGCGGUGUGCGAGAGCAGGAUCGGUACCUGCCGAUCGCCAAUAUCAGUCGUAUCAUGAAGAAGGCCUUGCCUGCUAAUGGCAAGAUCGCUAAGGACGCUAAAGAUACUGUACAAGAAUGCGUCUCUGAAUUCAUCAGUUUCAUCACCAGCGAGGCGAGUGACAAGUGCCAAAAGGAGAAGAGAAAGACGAUAAACGGCGAUGAUUUGUUAUGGGCAAUGGCUACGUUGGGAUUUGAGGAUUAUAUUGAACCGCUUAAGACUUACCUGGCAAGAUACAGGGAGGUAAAUUUUGAAUCUUUGAUUCUGAUUUCCUUUUUCAUUUACUGACCCGAAUUAUUAUGCUCGAUUCAUGUUUGGCUAUGAAUUGAAUUAAAUACUUAAAAUUUGAAUUAGACUACACGGUGUUUUGUUGACGUGAAAACUAAAGAAUAAAAAGAAGAGCAAUCUUUUUUCCGUAUCAUAUCCCAAAUCGUAUUUGAGGUUAAUAAUAUUCAAAUUGAGGUUGUCUGCAUGUAGAAUUUGAAAAUUGAAGAAGGUUUUUCUGUCCUCUCCCUUAUGCAUCAAGGCAGCACCUUACUUAUACUUGUAUUUAUUCAUUUUCGACAAAAUGAGUUUAACUCUUUCUUUUAUUUCUUUGGGUGCAAAUUCAACUCUAAUUUUUCCAUUCUUGUUUUGUUGACGUGGCUGAUUUUGUUGGUGUGAUUGCACUGCGGCAGUUGGAGGGAGACACCAAGGGAUCUGGUAGGGGUGGUGAUGGUUCUGCAAAAAGAGAUGGACUAGGAGCUGGGCCUGGUCAAAAUCCCCAGGUCUGAUAAUAAUAACAUGAAGAGGGUCAGCAUAUGGUGGUUCCCUCCAUGCAAGGCAAUGAGUAGGACACUUGAGCUUUUCAUUUUCAGUUUCCUUCUCUAUCUUCUUUUAUGCACUCCAUGGGUGGCAAAAUUACAUUAGUUAUAUCCUCUUUAUAUGAAUAUUCUAAUUCAGUCUAAGAAUUAUGUUUCAAAGGCUCUCUUUCCCAUUGGGUAGGGAUUUAUUUUUACCUGGUUAAUGAUCUUACUCAUCUGCAGUUGUGUAAUGUAAAUCACUUGUCUCUCUUCGUAGUAUAGUGGGCUCGCCAUGGAAGACUGCUUAGAUGUAUGGCUCCAAAACCUAUGAACCGAAGUCGUUCUUUUCUCAUUUUUGCAGUAUAUAUGGCUAGUCAGUAUUAUUACGAUUGUUUUUCUUCUC